GGGCUCCUGAAUACGUAUGUGAAUCAGUGUAACAGAGGGUACUGAAUAUUCAGCCACACUUCCAACCCCUCUCCUGACAGGCAAUACCGACUGGAUGAUAAGUGACUCAAACAAAAAAAAGCCACAGGCAAGAGCUACACAACCACAGAGCCUGCAAUACAUUGGAGCACAGAACCAGUUUUCUGUGUGUUGCU
Long non-coding RNA from Passer domesticus (house sparrow), 194 nucleotides. RefSeq lists it as uncharacterized. The record is from RefSeq and is a predicted model, not a curated record. Lineage: Eukaryota; Metazoa; Chordata; Aves; Passeriformes; Passeridae. The transcript has 3 exons.